GGUCUGUUCGCCCUUUAAAAUCUAACAUGAGCUGAGUUCAGAACGGCGUGAGCUAGUUCAGUUUCUAUCCUCUUUUUGAAAUGAGCUAAUUUUGUACGAAAGGACUUUUUCGCUAAAGCAAUGCUUUGUCACAAAUCUGUGGUUGCAUAAAUAAUAGUGCAUAAUAGGUUGAUUAGCCUAUAGAAAAGGUUA
Molecule: ribosomal RNA, 192 nt
Filed under: Mytilus trossulus (common blue mussel)
Lineage: Eukaryota; Metazoa; Mollusca; Bivalvia; Mytilida; Mytilidae
Description: partial 16S ribosomal RNA
Source: RNAcentral